This 310-nucleotide long non-coding RNA is filed under the name Hordeum vulgare. RNAcentral describes it as "long non-coding RNA (HVUL_LNC019957)". Lineage: Eukaryota; Viridiplantae; Streptophyta; Magnoliopsida; Poales; Poaceae. The record is from RNAcentral.
GUAGAAACACCAUGUCUUGUUCAUGUGCCAAAUCAGCAUUGCAAUGCGCUGACUCAUGUGUGGCAUCCGUCCAUGUUGAUUAAUGGAACCUUUGAUAAUCAGUACUAGAUGCAUGCAUCACCUAUGAUAAUUAAUAUAUGUCUGAUACAAUAUUUUCCUAUGUGUUGUAUUUAAUUUGUAAAGUCAAUGUGUGUAGCACAAUGAAACGGAAGAGGUUUAAGUGGUCCAUCAACAAUGGUCCCAAGGCAAUGGCGAUGGAAGGGGCUCAAAACUCAUCAAGUUUUAAGUAUAUAUAUGCAUUCAAAAAAAA